UGAGGAAUUUUCUGCAAUGGGCGAAAGCCUGACAGAGCAAUACCGCGUGAGGGAAGAAGGCUUACUGAGUUGUAAACCUCUGUUACCUAGGGAGGAAGAUCUGACGUUACCUAGGAGACGAAGCACCGGCUAACCCCGUGCCAGCAGCCGCGGUAAUACGGGGGGUGCAAGCGUUGUUCGGAAUUACUGGGCGUAAAGCGCGUGUAGGUGGCGCAGCAAGUCUGGAGUGAAAGCCCUCGGCCUAACCGAGGAAGUGCUUUGGAAACUGCUGUGCUUGAGUCCUGGAGGGGCAGAUGGAAUUCCCAGUGUAGAGGUGAAAUUCGUAGAUAUUGGGAGGAACACCGGUGGCGAAGGCGGUCUGCUGGACAGAGACUGACACUGAGACGCGAAAGCGUGGGGA
Molecule: ribosomal RNA, 400 nt
Filed under: uncultured bacterium
Lineage: Bacteria
Description: bacterial SSU rRNA
Rfam family: Bacterial small subunit ribosomal RNA
Source: RNAcentral